RNAcentral lists this ribosomal RNA (461 nucleotides) under uncultured bacterium. RNAcentral's name for it is "SSU rRNA". It matches the Rfam family "Bacterial small subunit ribosomal RNA", at positions 26 to 518 of the family's 1533-position model. The record is from RNAcentral.
AGAAUCAACGCUGGCGGCGUGCCUAACACAUGCAAGUCGAACGAGAAAGUGGUAGCAAUACCAUGAGUAAAGUGGCGCACGGGUGAGUAACACGUGACUAACCUACCCUGGAGUGGGGGAUAACUGAGGGAAACCUUAGCUAAUACCGCAUAACACCUACGGGUCAAAGGAGCAAUUCGCUUCAGGAGGGGGUCGCGGCAGAUUAGCUAGUUGGCGGGGUAAUGGCCCACCAAGGCAGUGAUCUGUAUCCGGCCUGAGAGGGCGCACGGACACACUGGAACUGAAACACGGUCCAGACUCCUACGGGAGGCAGCAGUGGGGAAUUUUGCGCAAUGGGGGAAACCCUGACGCAGCAACGCCGCGUGGAGGAUGAAGUCCUUCGGGACGUAAACUCCUUUCGAUCGGGACGAUAAUGACGGUACCGAGAGAAGAAGCCCGGCUAACUUCGCGCCAGCAGCCGC